UCCGGAGUUCAUAUCCAAAUCUGAUCCAUUCGAGUGAGCCGAUCUUAGGGUCCUUCAAGUGGUAUCAGAGCCACUUGUUUGGUAUCUUCUAAAUCAUUCAUCUUUCUCAUCUUCCAUUUCUUCAUAAACACUCUUCAUCUAUCUAUCUUGAAUCCGGGCCCCUCAUUACCAUCCUCAAUCUAUGAAAAAAAAAGAAAGAAAAAGAUCUAUCAAAAAAAAAAAAAAUUCGAAAAGUUUUUCAUUUGGGGAUUGGUGGUGGAAGAGAAAGUCUGCUGGCUGAGGAGAAAUCCAGCUUUUGAAGUGGUUAAAACGGAUUCCCAAAACAGAAAAUCUCUUAUCUUUCUCUCUUUUUAAAAUUCCCUUGUGUUUGCUUGGAUUUUGUCCAUUGAGUUUCUUUGAUUUGUUCUUCUUAGAAUUUUGAGUGAAAACUUGUUGUGUGACCAUCCAAAUUCUGAGAGAAACACGUGUGUGGGUGAGGAUCAAACACUUGAGAGAGUGAGGAAUUUUUAUCUAACGUUUUGUGUUUAAGAAAUUUCAGGAACCAUGAGUAGUGAUGAUGAACGGAACCGUCCC
Molecule: long non-coding RNA, 573 nt
Filed under: Brassica rapa (field mustard)
Lineage: Eukaryota; Viridiplantae; Streptophyta; Magnoliopsida; Brassicales; Brassicaceae
Description: long non-coding RNA (BRAP_LNC004361)
Source: RNAcentral